RNAcentral lists this non-coding RNA (175 nucleotides) under unclassified sequences. Its description in RNAcentral is "raiA RNA". It matches the Rfam family "raiA RNA". The record is from Rfam by way of RNAcentral.
UGCGAGUGUGCUGUGGUUGAAAGUCGAUGCUAGCCGCGGGCAAAACGACCCACGUAAGGCGUUUAACGACGCUGAGCAUGGCGCGGUUUAGAUGUAAGUCCUGCGUUGGAUUGAUCAAAGUGGUCAUCCCCGGCGUAGGCGGGUGUGGGGUCAAAGACCAGGUCAGGCACUCGCA